RNAcentral lists this ribosomal RNA (375 nucleotides) under uncultured organism. Its description in RNAcentral is "bacterial SSU rRNA". It matches the Rfam family "Archaeal small subunit ribosomal RNA", at positions 476 to 851 of the family's 1478-position model. The record is from RNAcentral.
CCAGCACCCCGAGUGGUCGGGACGAUUAUUGGGCCUAAAGCAUCCGUAGCCGGUUUUACAAGUCCUCCGUUAAGUCCAACUGCUUAACAGAUGGGCCGCGGAGGAUACUAUAAGACUAGGAGGCAGGAGAGGCAAGCGGUACUCAGUGGGUAGGGGUAAAAUCCGUUGAUCCAUUGAAGACCACCAGUGGCGAAGGCGGCUUGCCAGAAUGCGCUCGACGGUGAGGGAUGAAAGCUGGGGGAGCAAACCGGAUUAGAUACCCGGGUAGUCCCAGCUGUAAACGAUGCAGACUCGGUGAUGGACUAGCUUUAUGCUAGUCCAGUGCCGCAGGGAAGCCGUUAAGUCUGCCGCCUGGGGUAUACGGUCGCAAGACUG